GAUUCAGUGAGGAAUAGUGGUUUGAGCAUUGGACUACAACUCUGGAGACCAGGGUUCAAAUCCCUGCUCAGCCA
Phrynosoma platyrhinos (Desert horned lizard) is the source of this 74-nucleotide non-coding RNA. The record is from the annotation of a GenBank genome assembly. Lineage: Eukaryota; Metazoa; Chordata; Lepidosauria; Squamata; Phrynosomatidae.